Molecule: non-coding RNA, 30 nt
Filed under: Rattus norvegicus (Norway rat)
Lineage: Eukaryota; Metazoa; Chordata; Mammalia; Rodentia; Muridae
Source: RNAcentral
UAAGUGGUGAAGAGACUUCAUCUGCCAUGC